UGUUUCGGCAAGGGGGUCAUCCCGACUUACCAACCCGAUGCAAACUGCGAAUACCGGAGAAUGUUAUCACGGGAGACACACGGCGGGUGCUAACGUCCGUCGUGAAGAGGGAAACAACCCAGACCGCCAGCUAAGGUCCCAAAGUCAUGGUUAAGUGGGAAACGAUGUGGGAAGGCCCAGACAGCCAGGAUGUUGGCUUAGAAGCAGCCAUCAUUUAAAGAAAGCGUAAUAGCUCACUGGUCGAGUCGGCCUGCGCGGAAGAUGUAACGGGGCUAAACCAUGCACCGAAGCUGCGGCAGCGACGCUUAUGCGUUGUUGGGUAGGGGAGCGUUCUGUAAGCCUGUGAAGGUGUGCUGUGAGGCAUGCUGGAGGUAUCAGAAGUGCGAAUGCUGACAUAAGUAACGAUAAAGCGGGUGAAAAGCCCGCUCGCCGGAAGACCAAGGGUUCCUGUCCAACGUUAAUCGGGGCAGGGUGAGUCGACCCCUAAGGCGAGGCCGAAAGGCGUAGUCGAUGGGAAACAGGUUAAUAUUCCUGUACUUGGUGUUACUGCGAAGGGGGGACGGAGAAGGCUAUGUUGGCCGGGCGACGGUUGUCCCGGUUUAAGCGUGUAGGCUGGUUUUCCAGGCAAAUCCGGAAAAUCAAGGCUGAGGCGUGAUGACGAGGCACUACGGUGCUGAAGCAACAAAUGCCCUGCUUCCAGGAAAAGCCUCUAAGCAUCAGGUAACAUCAAAUCGUACCCCAAACCGACACAGGUGGUCAGGUAGAGAAUACCAAGGCGCUUGAGAGAACUCGGGUGAAGGAACUAGGCAAAAUGGUGCCGUAACUUCGGGAGAAGGCACGC
Molecule: ribosomal RNA, 841 nt
Filed under: Escherichia coli
Lineage: Bacteria; Pseudomonadati; Pseudomonadota; Gammaproteobacteria; Enterobacterales; Enterobacteriaceae
Description: partial 23S ribosomal RNA
Rfam family: Bacterial large subunit ribosomal RNA
Source: RNAcentral